Molecule: long non-coding RNA, 215 nt
Filed under: Panax ginseng (ginseng)
Lineage: Eukaryota; Viridiplantae; Streptophyta; Magnoliopsida; Apiales; Araliaceae
Description: long non-coding RNA (PGIN_LNC011853)
Source: RNAcentral
AUUACAAUAAAGUUUACUAAUCUCAUUCAAGCUUGCUAAUUAGGGUUAAGGCUUCCUAAUUAACAUUAUACUCUAUAAGCUAAUAAUUAGGUUUUCUCUAAUUGUAUGUUAGGGUUUCCUAAAUUAGAAAUUAGGGCUUUUCAAAUAAAUCAAUUAGGGUUAUCCCUAAUUAUACUUACAAUUAAUAACAUAGAAACUCUUUAUUUAUCUUCAAG